GCUUACGUAGCUUAAGUAAAGCACAGCACUGAAGAUGCUGA
RNAcentral lists this transfer RNA (41 nucleotides) under Xenopus laevis (African clawed frog). RNAcentral's name for it is "partial tRNA-Phe". Lineage: Eukaryota; Metazoa; Chordata; Amphibia; Anura; Pipidae. The record is from RNAcentral.